CCUACGGGAGGCAGCAGUGAGGAAUAUUGGUCAAUGGGCUUACGCCUGAACCAGUCAAGUCGCGUGAGGGAAGACUGCCCUAUGGGUGGUAAACCUCUUUUGUCAGGGAGCAACGCCGGCUACGUGUAGCCGGACUGAGAGUACCUGAAGAAAAAGCAUCGGCUAACUACGUACCAGCAGCCGCGUUAUUCAGGGGUAUGCGAGCGUUAGCGGGAUUUAUUGGGUUUAAAGGGAGCGUAGAAGGGAUGUUAAGUCAGUUGUGAAAGUUUGCGGCUAAACCGUAAACUUUCAAUUGUUACUGGAAGUCGUGAGUACAGUUGAGGUAGGCGGAAUUCGUGGUGUAGCGGUGAAAUGCUUAGAUAUCACGAAGAACCCCGAGUGCGAAGGCAGCUUACUAAACUGUGACUGACAUUGAUGCUCGAAAGUGUGGGUAUCAAACAGGAUUAGAUACCCUAGUAGUC
RNAcentral lists this ribosomal RNA (461 nucleotides) under uncultured bacterium. RNAcentral describes it as "partial 16S ribosomal RNA". It matches the Rfam family "Bacterial small subunit ribosomal RNA", at positions 338 to 795 of the family's 1533-position model. The record is from RNAcentral.